Doryrhamphus excisus (bluestripe pipefish) is the source of this 972-nucleotide long non-coding RNA. RefSeq lists it as uncharacterized. Lineage: Eukaryota; Metazoa; Chordata; Actinopteri; Syngnathiformes; Syngnathidae. The record is from RefSeq and is a predicted model, not a curated record.
AAAAUAGCUAUCAGGAUAGAUAAAAUUAAAAGAUCAAAGCUGUGCAUUUAUGUACAUUUGACCAUAUUACAUUAAGCUACAUUAGCUACAGUAACUUUACAUUGCACUAAUUAGUGCCAUUGACCAGAAUAGUCCCUGAACUUGGGGAUAGAUUGUCAAUAGAAACAGUAUAUUAAAAGGAGAGCGUUAUUUCUAGGUGUGCUGAGCUCAAAGAGGAAAUAGAUCAUACCUUCACACCUUCACACUUCUUCCUUCCACGGCCACCUCUCCUUGGACAAUCUUUGACAAGCAGCAGGGUAUGUUUAAAAUCCUUAACAGUGUCGGCCUUGUCAUCCGUUGCCUGAUUAACAAGCGUCGGGAGCGAGGCCUAAUCAGCUCCCUCAGUCAGUCGCAAGCGUGUCGGCCAUCAUUAAGUGACCUCACACGUGUGCCGGAUCCCGGCGGGGAGAGGACAGACGGUCCGGCCUGAUCCCGGGAGCUGAGGUGUAUGAAGAGAUCCUUACCCCCACAGACAAGAGCCCAUGUCGACAAGCCUCCCGGAUAUGUCAGCUAUAGGCGCAGAGAGAAAGAAGACCAUGUUUCAUCUCAACAUCCAAAAAGAAUGAUGGUCUGGAUAAUGUGGCACCGCUCUAAUAGAUGAGGAAAAGAUGAAGUCGGAGGUGAAAUUCCAGGUUGACGCCAUCCCCUCAUCAGGAUGGAUUCGUCUCACGUCAGGUUACGCAGGGCGCAGCUACGAUAUAGCCUGCUUUCAGUCUCAUCCGGGACGCCUUCACCACGCUGACCCCUUUAGUCACGGAAGACUCUGUCUUUGCGGCUCCAGAAAGGGAUCCCGGCGUGGGGAAAGGAUUCCGGGACGAGACAGAUGAUGCUUGAAAGCCAUCAGUGUUAUGAAUUAGAAUGAGAUGCUAAUGUUUUGGGAUGUGAUGGUUAGCCGGGAUAGACAUGUAAUAUGUUACACCUGUUAGCUGUGAC